GGGGGUGUAGCUCAAUGGUCAGAGCAGGCGGCUCAUAAUCGCUUGGUUCACGGUUCGAGUCCGUGCGCCCCCACCA
This 76-nucleotide transfer RNA is filed under the name Chthoniobacterales bacterium. Its description in RNAcentral is "tRNA-Ile". It matches the Rfam family "tRNA". Rfam says of the family: Transfer RNA (tRNA) molecules are approximately 80 nucleotides in length. Their secondary structure includes four short double-helical elements and three loops (D, anti-codon, and T loops). Lineage: Bacteria; Pseudomonadati; Verrucomicrobiota; Spartobacteria; Chthoniobacterales. The record is from RNAcentral.